AGUGAACGCUGGCGGUAGGCCUAACACAUGCAAGUCGAACGGCAGCACAGUAAGAGCUUGCUCUUACGGGUGGCGAGUGGCGGACGGGUGAGGAAUACAUCGGAAUCUACUUUUUCGUGGGGGAUAACGUAGGGAAACUUACGCUAAUACCGCAUACGACCUACGUGUGAAAGCAGGGGAUCUUCGGACCUUGCGCGAUUGAAUGAGCCGAUGUCGGAUUAGCUAGUUGGCGGGGUAAAGGCCCACCAAGGCGACGAUCCGUAGCUGGUCUGAGAGGAUGAUCAGCCACACUGGAACUGAGACACGGUCCAGACUCCUACGGGAGGCAGCAGUGGGGAAUAUUGGACAAUGGGCGCAAGCCUGAUCCAGCCAUACCGCGUGGGUGAAGAAGGCCUUCGGGUUGUAAAGCCCUUUUGUUGGGAAAGAGAAGCAGCAGGUUAAUACCCCGCUGUUCUGACGGUACCCAAAGAAUAAGCACCGGCUAACUUCGUG
RNAcentral lists this ribosomal RNA (492 nucleotides) under uncultured bacterium. RNAcentral's name for it is "partial 16S ribosomal RNA". It matches the Rfam family "Bacterial small subunit ribosomal RNA", at positions 29 to 507 of the family's 1533-position model. The record is from RNAcentral.